This 892-nucleotide ribosomal RNA is filed under the name Verruciconidia persicina. RNAcentral describes it as "LSU rRNA". It matches the Rfam family "Eukaryotic large subunit ribosomal RNA", at positions 38 to 965 of the family's 3401-position model. Lineage: Eukaryota; Fungi; Ascomycota; Sordariomycetes; Hypocreales; Bionectriaceae. The record is from RNAcentral.
GCAUAUCAAUAAGCGGAGGAAAAGAAACCAACAGGGAUUGCCUCAGUAACGGCGAGUGAAGCGGCAACAGCUCAAAUUUGAAAUCUGGCCCUAGGCCCGAGUUGUAAUUUGCAGAGGAUGUUUCUGGCGAGGUGCCUUCCGAGUUCCCUGGAACGGGACGCCAUAGAGGGUGAGAGCCCCGUACGGUUGGUCGCUAAGCCUCUGUGAAACUCCUUCGACGAGUCGAGUAGUUUGGGAAUGCUGCUCUAAAUGGGAGGUAUACGUCUUCUAAAGCUAAAUACCGGCCAGAGACCGAUAGCGCACAAGUAGAGUGAUCGAAAGAUGAAAAGCACUUUGAAAAGAGGGUUAAAUAGUACGUGAAAUUGUUGAAAGGGAAGCGCUUAUGACCAGACUUGGACCGGUUGAUCAUCCAUCGUUCUCGGUGGUGCACUCUGCCGGUUCAGGCCAGCAUCAGUUCGCCCCGGGGGAUAAAGGCUUUGGGAAUGUGGCUCUUCGGAGUGUUAUAGCCCACUGCGUAAUACCCUGGGAUGGACUGAGGUUCGCGCUCCGCAAGGAUGCUGGCGUAAUGGUCAUCAGUGACCCGUCUUGAAACACGGACCAAGGAGUCGUCUUCGUAUGCGAGUGUUCGGGUGUCAAACCCCUACGCGUAAUGAAAGUGAACGUAGGAGAGAGCUUCGGCGCAUCUCCGACCGAUCCUGAUGUUCUCGGAUGGAUUUGAGUAAGAGCAUACGGGGCCGGACCCGAAAGAAGGUGAACUAUGCUUGUAUAGGGUGAAGCCAGAGGAAACUCUGGUGGAGGCUCGCAGCGGUUCUGACGUGCAAAUCGAUCGUCAAAUAUGAGCAUGGGGGGCGAAAGACUAAUCGAACCUUCUAGUAGCUGGGUUUCCGCCGAG